GGGCAUGGUGGCUCACGCCUAUAAUCCCAGCACUUUGGGAGGCUGAGGCUGGUGGAUCAUUUGAGGUCAGGAGUUCGAGACCAGCCUGGCCAACAUGGUGAAACCCUGUCUCUACCAAAAAUACAAAAAAAACAAUGUACCGGGCAUGGUGGCACGCAUCUGUAAUCCCAGCUACUCGGGAGGCUGAGGCACGAGAAUCGCUUGAACUCAGGAGGUGGAGGUUGCAAUGAGCCAAGAUCCCACCACUGCCCUCCAGCCUGGACUAUAGAAUUGAGGAAAGCAGUUGCCCCUCCUAAUGUGGGUGGACUUCAUCCAAUCCACGGAAGACCUGAAUAGAGCAAAAGUCGGUCCUUUCCGAAGUAAGAGAGAAUUCCUCCUGCCUGAAGGUUUUUAAACUGCACCAUUGGCUUUUUUCUGCCUUUGUACUCAGACUGAAACACUGCUCUUUCCGGGUUUCGAGCCUGCUGGCCUUAGGACUGGAACUAACACCAUCAGUUCUCUGGGGUCUCCAGUUUGCUGCCUCGCCCUGCAGAUGACAGCACUUGUUAGCCUCCAUAAUUG
This 561-nucleotide long non-coding RNA is filed under the name Homo sapiens (human). Its description in RNAcentral is "HSALNT0384792". The record is from RNAcentral. Lineage: Eukaryota; Metazoa; Chordata; Mammalia; Primates; Hominidae.